GACGAACGCUGGCGGCGUGCUUAACACAUGCAAGUCGAACGGAAAGGCCCUGCUUUUGUGGGGUGCUCGAGUGGCGAACGGGUGAGUAACACGUGAGUAACCUGCCCUUGACUUUGGGAUAACUUCAGGAAGCUGGGGCUAAUACCGGAUAGGAGCUCCUGCUGCAUGGUGGGCGUUGGAAAGUUUCGGCGGUUGGGGAUGGACUCGCGGCUUAUCAGCUUGUUGGUGGGGUAGUGGCUUACCAAGGCUUUGACGGGUAGCCGGCCUGAGAGGGUGACCGGCCACAUUGGGACUGAGAUACGGCCCAGACUCCUACGGGAGGCAGCAGUGGGGAAUAUUGCACAAUGGGCGGAAGCCUGAUGCAGCAACGCCGCGUGCGGGAUGACGGCCUUCGGGUUGUAAACCGCUUUCGCCUGUGACGAAGCGUGAGUGACGGUAAUGGGUAAAGAAGCACCGGCUAACUACGUG
Molecule: ribosomal RNA, 468 nt
Filed under: uncultured bacterium
Lineage: Bacteria
Description: partial 16S ribosomal RNA
Rfam family: Bacterial small subunit ribosomal RNA
Source: RNAcentral